RNAcentral lists this ribosomal RNA (554 nucleotides) under Serratia marcescens. Its description in RNAcentral is "bacterial LSU rRNA". It matches the Rfam family "Bacterial large subunit ribosomal RNA", at positions 1382 to 1916 of the family's 2925-position model. The record is from RNAcentral. Lineage: Bacteria; Pseudomonadati; Pseudomonadota; Gammaproteobacteria; Enterobacterales; Yersiniaceae.
AGUCGACCCCUAAGGCGAGGCUGAAAAGCGUAGUCGAUGGGAAACAGGUUAAUAUUCCUGUACUUGGUGUUACUGCGAAGGGGGGACGGAGAAGGCUAGGCUAGCCGGGCGACGGUUGUCCCGGUUUAAGCGUGUAGGGGGUGUGACCUGGUAAAUCCGGUUACAUACUAACCCUGAGGCGUGAUGACGAUGCACUACGGUGCAGAAGUAGUUGAUGCCCUGCUUCCAGGAAAAGCCUCUAAGCAUCAGGUAACAUUGAAUCGUACCCCAAACCGACACAGGUGGUCAGGUAGAGAAUACCAAGGCGCUUGAGAGAACUCGGGUGAAGGAACUAGGCAAAAUGGUGCCGUAACUUCGGGAGAAGGCACGCUGGCAUGUAGGUGAAGUCCCUCGCGGAUGGAGCUGAAGCCAGUCGAAGAUACCAGCUGGCUGCAACUGUUUAAUAAAAACACAGCACUGUGCAAACACGAAAGUGGACGUAUACGGUGUGACGCCUGCCCGGUGCUGGAAGGUUAAUUGAUGGGGUCAGCCGCAAGGCGAAGCUCUUGAUCGAA